ACGCGUCCCGACGAUUGGGGAGCUCGGUGGCCAGACGCUCUCCCCUCACCUCGCCUCUCCAUACCGUUUCUUUGACAAAGUCUCCAGCUUUUUCCAAAAGGUCUGACGGAGAACCGUUCCUCAUCCUUGCAGAAGGCGCGAGGAGCUCGGUUGGGGCACGCCAUCGUCCGAGCUGGAAAGGAAUCUAGGACAAUGGAGGGCUGAAGCUCCUUGCCAUGUGACUGCAUUGUGCAUUGCCUCACCUCACCCUCACCGCCGUGCGUGCGCACGCGUUGCGCCGCCGCUGCAGAGCAGCAACUUCGUCGCCUCCAUUGCCACUAGGCAGCGUCUGCGCGUAGCCCUUGCCCUGGCUGGCUGACUGCUCAGGUCCCCCCGCCAUUACUCGAUCGUACACCAGCAGCUUCGCGUCCGCGCGCUCCAGCUCAAAUUCAUCAGGUGCCGGCGUCUGCACGAUCGGGAAUCCCCGUCGCUCACCCUCUCCUCCGGCCGCCGUCCAUCUCCACUUGUGCAGUUCCCCUUCACGCGCCGCAGGCCGCACCACACCGGACCGCACCUUCUGGAACGCCCCCUCCGCCCGCGAACGCCACCGAUCAGCCACUGCGCCGCGGCGCCGCAGCAGCAGCUGCGGAAUCACCCGCUCCCGUCGAUCAUCGUUCCGCUCACCGGCCGCUUCGGCCUCCCGCUCGAGGUUGAUGCACGCUCCGCGAGCUCCUUCGGCGCCUACAAGGGUGACUGGAUCUUCCUCGCCUUCGAUAACGGCAUCAUCCACCGCGACCCUCUCUCCGCCACCGGAGAGCGAACUCCGCCUCAUCGGCAAGCGCCUCCAAAGCUUCAUCGACCAGCGUCGCGUAGGCCAAGUCCGCCGAUCCUAGCGCCCCGCCGUCGCGGAGCAGCAGCCACUGCUGGGGACGAGAUGCUGCUCCCGUUAAUCCUCAUCCCGCGCGGCUGUGCCACACCCUGGACUACGAGCACUGCGUCGCCGCCGCCACCUGACGCUGAGUCUGGCGGUGGAAUCUCUUUAUGGUGGCCAGGUUCGUUCGUCAUCCUCUUCGACGACGUUGGCGUUCAGGGUGUUCGAGAUGGUGUAGCCGCCGCCGUGGACGCCCAUGAACAAUAUUAUGAAGGCCCAGUACUCGCUGUAUGAGCAAGGCUGAUCCAGAGCCCAGAUCGACGGCAUCUACCACGAAGCAAGGGCCCUCGAACUACUCACCGUCAGUUUGGAUUUCAGAUCGUCCAGGUACUCUCAUCAGUUUUUAGUUGUUGAUCUGCAUGUCUCAUGUCUUAGUUUUACUUGAGAUGCAUGUUUCAUCUGUGCACAUGCUUUGGAUCAAAUGGAUUUGCAUUUUGCUGCGAAGAAGAAAUUGCUUCUGCAAUUUGCUUUUAGUUGCUACAAAUUAAUUUCAUAAUCACUUUGCUAUGUGUUUUCACUUGCACUGUUACAUGGUAUCAUUUGUGACCAUCUUCUUUAGUAACAUAGCCAAACAGGUCUGUUCGUAGGGGCUGUGUGUAGUCGACAGAAAAAUUUGGAACAAAAAGUUGCUGUGGAACGUGCAGAACUUCACUAGGAUGGGAGUAAGCUGGGGUGGGGGUGUUUGCUAGCGCUAGAUUGCAGCUGGGCUGCGUCUAUAGUAGCAGCAGCCGCAGCACAAGUGAUGUUGAAUUUGCUGCAGCUGCUGCUUCUGUUCGUCCCGGCCGCCUCCGUUGCCACGGCG
RNAcentral lists this long non-coding RNA (1712 nucleotides) under Oryza brachyantha (malo sina). RNAcentral describes it as "long non-coding RNA (OBRA_LNC002899)". Lineage: Eukaryota; Viridiplantae; Streptophyta; Magnoliopsida; Poales; Poaceae. The record is from RNAcentral.